UACGAAGGGGGCAAGCGUUGUUCGGAAUUACUGGGCGUAAAGGGCGCGCAGGCGGCCGAUCAAGUCAGAUGUGAAAGCCCCGGGCUCAACCUGGGAAUAGCAUUUGGGACUGGUCGGCUAGAGUUCGGGAGAGGAGAGUGGAAUUCCCAGUGUAGAGGUGAAAUUCGUAGAUAUUGGGAAGAACACCGGUGGCGAAGGCGGCUCUCUGGACCGAUACUGACGCUGAGG
Molecule: ribosomal RNA, 228 nt
Filed under: uncultured bacterium
Lineage: Bacteria
Description: partial 16S ribosomal RNA
Rfam family: Bacterial small subunit ribosomal RNA
Source: RNAcentral